RNAcentral lists this transfer RNA (90 nucleotides) under Actinomycetes bacterium. RNAcentral's name for it is "tRNA-Ser". It matches the Rfam family "tRNA". From Rfam's summary of the family: Transfer RNA (tRNA) molecules are approximately 80 nucleotides in length. Their secondary structure includes four short double-helical elements and three loops (D, anti-codon, and T loops). Further hydrogen bonds mediate the characteristic L-shaped molecular structure. tRNAs have two regions of fundamental functional importance: the anti-codon, which is responsible for specific mRNA codon recognition, and the 3' end, to which the tRNAs corresponding amino acid is attached (by aminoacyl-tRNA synthetases). tRNAs cope with the degeneracy of the genetic code in two manners: having more than one tRNA (with a specific anti-codon) for a particular amino acid; and 'wobble' base-pairing, i.e. permitting non-standard base-pairing at the 3rd anti-codon position. RNAcentral also lists the same sequence under 4 other names. Lineage: Bacteria; Bacillati; Actinomycetota; Actinomycetes. The record is from RNAcentral.
GGAAGGGUGCCAGAGCGGCCGAAUGGGACGGUCUCGAAAACCGUUGUGGGUGUAUGCCUACCGUGGGUUCAAAUCCCACCCCUUCCGCCA